CUCUGGAGAGAUUCCGGGCUUGCCCGGAGCGCCGAAGGGAUAACGAUCUCAGGCGAAAGGACAGAG
Molecule: non-coding RNA, 66 nt
Filed under: Marivita hallyeonensis
Lineage: Bacteria; Pseudomonadati; Pseudomonadota; Alphaproteobacteria; Rhodobacterales; Roseobacteraceae
Description: Glycine sequence
Rfam family: Glycine riboswitch aptamer
About the family: This family represents the bacterial glycine riboswitch. Glycine riboswitches usually consist of two metabolite-binding aptamers domains with similar structures in tandem. The aptamers cooperatively bind glycine to regulate the expression of downstream genes.
Source: Rfam by way of RNAcentral